This 412-nucleotide ribosomal RNA is filed under the name uncultured bacterium. RNAcentral describes it as "bacterial SSU rRNA". It matches the Rfam family "Bacterial small subunit ribosomal RNA", at positions 505 to 916 of the family's 1533-position model. The record is from RNAcentral.
GUGUAGCAGCCGCGGUAAUACGUAGGUGGCAAGCGUUGUCCGGAUUUAUUGGGCGUAAAGCGAACGCAGGCGGGAGAAUAAGUCAGCUGUGAAAGCCCUCAGCUUAACUGGGGAACUGCAGCUGAAACUAUUUUUCUUGAGUGCAGAAGAGGAGAGUGGAACUCCAUGUGUAGCGGUGGAAUGCGUAGAUAUAUGGAAGAACACCAGUGGCGAAGGCGGCUCUCUGGUCUGUAACUGACGCUGAGGUUCGAAAGCAUGGGUAGCGAACAGGAUUAGAUACCCUGGUAGUCCAUGCCGUAAACGAUGAGUGCUAAGUGUUGGGAGGUUUCCGCCUCUCAGUGCUGCAGCUAACGCAUUAAGCACUCCGCCUGGGGAGUACGACCGCAAGGUUAAAACUUAAAUAAAUUGACGG